This 69-nucleotide transfer RNA is filed under the name Iconaster longimanus. RNAcentral's name for it is "tRNA-Gly". It matches the Rfam family "tRNA". Rfam says of the family: Transfer RNA (tRNA) molecules are approximately 80 nucleotides in length. The record is from RNAcentral. Lineage: Eukaryota; Metazoa; Echinodermata; Asteroidea; Valvatida; Goniasteridae.
GUCUUAUAAGUAUGGUAGUAUAGUUGAUUUCCAAUUAAAAGGCCUUUGUUAAAAGUCAAGGAUAAGAUA